RNAcentral lists this ribosomal RNA (490 nucleotides) under uncultured bacterium. RNAcentral's name for it is "bacterial SSU rRNA". It matches the Rfam family "Bacterial small subunit ribosomal RNA", at positions 28 to 507 of the family's 1533-position model. The record is from RNAcentral.
GAUGAACGCUAGCUACAGGCUUAACACAUGCAAGUCGAGGGGAAACGACAUCGAAAGCUUGCUUUUGAUGGGCGUCGACCGGCGCACGGGUGAGUAACGCGUAUCCAACCUGCCCACCACUUGGGGAUAACCUUGCGAAAGUAAGACUAAUACCCAAUGAUAUCUCUAGAAGACAUCUGAAAGAGAUUAAAGAUUUAUCGGUGAUGGAUGGGGAUGCGUCUGAUUAGCUUGUUGGCGGGGUAACGGCCCACCAAGGCGACGAUCAGUAGGGGUUCUGAGAGGAAGGUCCCCCACAUUGGAACUGAGACACGGUCCAAACUCCUACGGGAGGCAGCAGUGAGGAAUAUUGGUCAAUGGGCGAGAGCCUGAACCAGCCAAGUAGCGUGCAGGAAGACGGCCCUAUGGGCUGUAAACUGCUUUUAUAGGGGAUAAAGUGAGCACGUGUGGUUUUUUGCAUGUACCCUAUGAAUAAGGACCGGCUAAUUCCGUG